AAAAAAACCCGAAACUUGAGCCUCCUGACAGCAGGAGAGCGUCUCCGGUGUCCGUGAUGGGCUCGUUCAGAUAUUUUACUCCGUGUCUGAUGGCUGUCUCUGCUGUCAAGCCCCAGCUCCGCUCGCACGGCUCUCCGUGUUUCUCUCCGCGUCAAAGAAGCUCUCUCACAGAAGCUGACGGGCAGAGAUCGUAUUGCGCUGAGCAGUGUUUAAAGAGAACGUGACGUCAAUCCCCGCCCCCGGAAUCCCAGGGCAGACUCGUGACCAGCGCUUGGACUCCAGCACAGCCAGCAGCUAUUUCUCUGCCUCGGUCUAUUUCUGGACGAGGAAGCGCCCCUCACUUCAUAUUACCCACAGGAAGACAGAGACUAUUGUAGUGUUAUAGUCUGAGCAUAUUUUUGCCUCUUUCUUGGAUUUCUUAUACAUCCAUAAUAAGAAAAAUACUGGCCUCACAGAUCCACUACUGAAAUGAUACCGGAAUGGUUUCUUCUCUUUGGGCAUCUUGCACAUUGUUACAGUGAGAACAGACAGUCUGUCACGUUAGACUCAACAGUUUUCUAAAAUGAUGCAGCCUGCCCUCAACCUGACUAGUAUACACUAUUUAUUAAUAACACAGUUACAAAGAUGGUAAACAUGUAAUAAGUGCUCAGUAAACUUUAAAUUAGUGGCA
Long non-coding RNA from Oreochromis niloticus (Nile tilapia), 670 nucleotides. RefSeq lists it as uncharacterized. The record is from RefSeq and is a predicted model, not a curated record. The transcript has 2 exons. NCBI's taxonomy places the organism in Eukaryota, Metazoa, Chordata, Actinopteri, Cichliformes, Cichlidae.